UUCCUCUCAGGGUCGCACCUGGAGAGUUUGCAGUACUCUACCAGUCUCGACUAUGGGAGGGAGAGUCAGGCAGAGGCCUACCCAUUCCAUUCCUAGCUUGGCCAGUGGCUAGUGAGUGGAAGGCAAACUACUUCCAGU
Non-coding RNA from Ornithorhynchus anatinus (platypus), 138 nucleotides. The record is from Rfam. Lineage: Eukaryota; Metazoa; Chordata; Mammalia; Monotremata; Ornithorhynchidae.